AAGCAUUGUUAAUAAGGUAUCUUAUCCUGAAUACAUAGGGGUAAGAAGCGAACUCGGGGAACUGAAACAUCUAAGUACCCGAAGGAAAGGACAUCAACCGAGACUCCGCAAGUAGUGGCGAGCGAACGCGGACCAGGCCAGUGGCAAUGAGGAAUAAAGCGGAACAAGUUGGAAAGCUUGGCCAUAGUGGGUGACAGCCCCGUACGCGUAGAACACUCAUUGUCCUAGAGUAGGGCGGGACACGUGAAAUCCUGUUCGAACAUGGGGAGACCACUCUCCAAGCCUAAGUACUCGUGCAUGACCGAUAGCGAACAAGUACCGUGAGGGAAAGGUGAAAAGCACCCCGACAAGGGGAGUGAAAUAGAACCUGAAACCGGAUGCCUACAAACAGUAGGAGGGCGAAAGCCUGACUGCGUACCUUUUGUAUAAUGGGUCAACGACUUAGUGUAACUAGCAAGCUUAAGCCGGUAGGUGUAGGCGCAGCGAAAGCGAGUGUUAAUAGCGCGAUUGAGUUAGUUGCAUUAGACCCGAAACCGAGUGAUCUAGCCAUGAGCAGGUUGAAGGUUGGGUAACACCAACUGGAGGACCGAACCCGCAUCUGUUGCAAUAGAUUGGGAUGACUUGUGGUUAGGGGUGAAAGGCCAAUCAAACUCGGAAAUAGCUGGUUUUCCGCGAAAACUAUUUAGGUAGUGCGUCGAUCGAAUACCUCAGGGGGUAGAGCACUGGAUGGGCUAUGGGGACUCACCGUCUUACUGAUCCUAACCAAACUCCGAAUACCUGAGAGUACUAAUCGGCAGACACACGGCGGGUGCUAACGUCCGUCGUGAAGAGGGCAACAACCCUGACCUCCAGCUAAGGUCCCCAAGUCAUGGCUAAGUGGGAAAGGAUGUGAGGAUCCCAAAACAACCAGGAUGUUGGCUUAGAAGCAGCCAUCAUUUAAAGAAAGCGUAACAGCUCACUGGUCUAAAUAAGGGUCUUUGCGCCGAAAAUGUAACGGGGCUAAAGCCAUGCACCGAAGCUGAGGAUGUGCAGUAAUGCACGUGGUAGCGGAGCGUUCCGUAAGCCUGUGAAGGGACAGUCGUGAGACAUCCUGGAGGUAUCGGAAGUGCGAAUGUUGACAUGAGUAACGAUAAAGGGGGUGAGAGACCCCCUCGCCGAAAGACCAAGGGUUCCUGCUUAAAGUUAAUCUGAGCAGGGUUAGCCGGCCCCUAAGGCGAGGCAGAAAUGCGUAGUCGAUGGGAACCACGUUAAUAUUCGUGGGCCUGGUGGUAGUGACGGAUCACACAAAUUGUACAGUCUUACUGGAUUGAUUGUGCAGUGGAGUGGUUCCAGGCAAUAGCUCCACCGUAUAGACCGUACCCGAAACCGACACAGGUGGUCAGGUAGAGUAUACCAAGGCGCUUGAGAGAACUAUGUUGAAGGAACUCGGCAAAUUGCACGCGUAACUUCGGAAGAAGCGUGACCCCUUUUUACGCAAGUGGAGAGGGGUGGCACAGACCAGGGGGUAGCGACUGUUUAUCAAAAACACAGGGCUCUGCGAAGUCGCAAGACGACGUAUAGGGUCUGACGCCUGCCCGGUGCUGGAAGGUUAAGAGGAGAGGUGCAAGCUUUGAAUCGAAGCCCCAGUAAACGGCGGCCGUAAUUAUAACGGUCCUAAGGUAGCGAAAUUCCUUGUCGGGUAAGUUCCGACCUGCACGAAUGGCGUAACGAUUCCCCCGCUGUCUCCAACAUAGACUCAGUGAAAUUGAAUUCCCCGUGAAGAUGCGGGGUUCCUGCGGUCAGACAGAAAGACCCCGUGCACCUUUACUAUAGCUUUACACUGGCAUUCGUGUCGGCAUGUGUAGGAUAGGUGGUAGGCUUUGAAGCUUGGACGCCAGUUCGAGUGGAGCCAUCCUUGAAAUACCACCCUUAUCGUCAUGGAUGUCUAACCGCGGUCCGUUAUCCGGAUCCGGGACAGUGUAUGGUGGGUAGUUUGACUGGGGCGGUCGCCUCCGAAAGAGUAACGGAGGCGCGCGAUGGUGGGCUCAGACCGGUCGGAAAUCGGUCGUCGAGUGCAAUGGCAUAAGCCCGCCUGACUGCGAGACUGACAAGUCGAGCAGAGACGAAAGUCGGUCAUAGUGAUCCGGUGGUCCCGCGUGGAAGGGCCAUCGCUCAACGGAUAAAAGGUACGCCGGGGAUAACAGGCUGAUGACCCCCAAGAGUCCAUAUCGACGGGGUUGUUUGGCACCUCGAUGUCGGCUCAUCGCAUCCUGGGGCUGGAGCAGUCCCAAGG
RNAcentral lists this ribosomal RNA (2272 nucleotides) under Gillisella vitis. RNAcentral's name for it is "bacterial LSU rRNA". It matches the Rfam family "Bacterial large subunit ribosomal RNA", at positions 130 to 2570 of the family's 2925-position model. Lineage: Bacteria; Pseudomonadati; Pseudomonadota; Alphaproteobacteria; Hyphomicrobiales; Rhizobiaceae. The record is from RNAcentral.